AUGGGUUCGGUGAAGGCAGUCUGCUUGACCAAUCUGAUCUCCUUCUACGAUCCUGUGACCCAUCUGAUGGAUGAAGGAAAGAAAGAAAGGCUGUUGAUGUGCUCUACUUGGACUUCAGCAAAGCCUUCACAACUGUCUCCCAUGCUAUUCUCCUACAAAAGCUGGCAGCCCUUUUCAAAUCCAGAGGCGGCUCCCGGGCGGCUCCAACCCCAGAACGAAGAGGAGGAGGGUGCCCGCCAUAACCAUCAAAUGGAGGAGGGGGAAAGGAGCCCGUUUCCAUCAUGCCUGGACCAGCCCUGUGACCACCACCCAUGUGGAGCCUAUGGAGGUGGAUCCACCUCCAGAGGAACCGAUGGAGGUGGAUCCCCCUCCAGAGGAGCCCAUGGACGUGGAUCCGCCCGCGGCAUAGCUGGCCUGGCACCACACCACCGUGCCAGGCCCCGCGUUGGCAUGGUCACAGCUUCACCAUCGCUGGUCCAGGCACUCGGCUCCUUUCCUGCUGCGUGGCCCCUGCCCCCAGCAUGAGCUGGGUGGCAUUAUUUAACAUCUUCUUCUCCUCCACCUCGUUGCUCCUCCGGUUCUGUGGGCCCCCAGUUCCUUCUUCCCCCUGUUGUAGUUAGGUGUUUGCUCUGUUCUUUGUUUUGAUGGUUGUGUUAGGUUAGUGUUAGUGUUCAGUUUAGUUUUAGCGUAGGGAUAGGUUCCUGUUUGUUCUUUAGAGUUAGGCAUAGGUUCCUGUUUGUUCUUUAGAGUUAGGUAUAGGUUUUUGUUGUUAUUUUAGAGUUAGGUAUAGGUUUCUGUUGUUAUUUUAGAGUUAGGCAUAGGUUAGUGUUCGUACUUGCAGUCAGGCAUUGGCUGUUACACUCAAGUAAAAGUAACCGCUGCUCCUUGGGUAAGCAUGCAGCUGGUUGCUCACCCCGAGCAAUGAGUGCGACUGCCCUGACAGUUUGAUGACAUCUGCGAUGAAUGGGAUUUGCAUCCGGUGACUUUUCCUUUGCAGAAUGUCCAGCAGCAGAGCGUGAGUGGCCUGAGAAAUGGAGCUGGGACUCAGGAGAGCAACACGUGGCUGUGUCCCAGAGCUCCCAAAGUGUGGCCAUUGCAAGGUAGGAGUGCCUUACCGAAAGCGUUGUUCAAGCACAGCUCCUGGCACUGUCUGCAACAGAUCCGCUCUCUGCGUGCUUUCUUUCAGUCGCUGGUGUUGUGCAGCACAGCCACGGCACGGCCCUCAGUGCGUACGCGAGGAGCGUGAAAAGGUAGGUGGUGAAUUUUCAUCUUGCUAACGCUAGGAUUAGGAAUGGUGAGCAUUCCUAAAAGAGUGGCCACAAAGGUGUGAUCUGCCUCGGGGAGAAGUUGAUUCUCGCCUCUUCAGCUUUUCCCUUCUUUUCUGUCCACCUGUCCUUUCCAGCUCCUCCUCCCCUCAGCUGCAAGUGGGGCAGUGCUCGAGUGUGAGGACUCUUCCUUGGCAUGCGGUAACAGACAAUGCAGAUGUGACUUUUGUGUCCUUCCUUGUUCUUGGGUUCGUAGCCCA
RNAcentral lists this long non-coding RNA (1525 nucleotides) under Coturnix japonica (Japanese quail). Its description in RNAcentral is "lncRNA (ENSCJPG00005020864.1)". Lineage: Eukaryota; Metazoa; Chordata; Aves; Galliformes; Phasianidae. The record is from RNAcentral.